Molecule: small nuclear RNA, 165 nt
Filed under: Aegilops tauschii subsp. strangulata
Lineage: Eukaryota; Viridiplantae; Streptophyta; Magnoliopsida; Poales; Poaceae
Description: snRNA U2
Rfam family: U2 spliceosomal RNA
About the family: U2 is a small nuclear RNA (snRNA) component of the spliceosome (involved in pre-mRNA splicing). Complementary binding between U2 snRNA (in an area lying towards the 5' end but 3' to hairpin I) and the branchpoint sequence (BPS) of the intron results the bulging out of an unpaired adenosine, on the BPS, which initiates a nucleophilic attack at the intronic 5' splice site, thus starting the first of two transesterification reactions that mediate splicing.
Source: Rfam by way of RNAcentral
AUACCUUUCUCGGCCUUUUGGCUAAGAUCAAGUGUAGUAUCUGUUCUUAUCAAUUUAAUAUCUGAUAUGUGUGCCAUGUGCUCACAACGAUAUUAAAUUUAUUUUUUGUGGGGGAGGGUCCAUCACACUAGCUUGCUAGUGGGGCUCUCACGUGUCGCACCCCAA